UACGUAGGGGGCAAGCGUUGUCCGGAUUUAUUGGGCGUAAAGAGCGUGUAGGCGGCUUUACAGGUCCGUUGUGAAAACUCGAGGCUCAACCUCGAGACGCCGGUGGAAACCGUAAAGCUAGAGUCCGGAAGAGGAGAGUGGAAUUCCUGGUGUAGCGGUGAAAUGCGCAGAUAUCAGGAAGAACACCGGUGGCGAAGGCGGCUUCCUGGACCGACACUGACGCUGAGGCGCGAAAGCUAGGGGAGCAAACGGG
Molecule: ribosomal RNA, 253 nt
Filed under: uncultured bacterium
Lineage: Bacteria
Description: partial 16S ribosomal RNA
Rfam family: Bacterial small subunit ribosomal RNA
Source: RNAcentral